AUAUCACUAAGCGGAGGAGAAGAAAUUAACUAAGAUUGCCCUAGUAACGGCGAGUGAAGCGGCAAAAGCCCAAAAUGUAAAUCUUGUGCAUUUAUGUACACGAAUUGUAAUUUAGAGAGAGUUUACUCAACGGGUGGGGUCGCAGAAGUGACCACGAACGGUCCGCCAAAGAGGGUGACAGCCCCGUAUGUGGUGGCCCCGCUUAACGAGUGGAUUUUCGAAGAGUCGGGUCGUUUUGUAUUGCAGCCCUAAGUGGGAGAUAAACUUCUUCUAAGGCUAAAUAUUAAUGGGAGAGCGAUAGCGCACAAGUA
Molecule: ribosomal RNA, 311 nt
Filed under: uncultured Sterkiella
Lineage: Eukaryota; Ciliophora; Spirotrichea; Sporadotrichida; Oxytrichidae
Description: partial large subunit ribosomal RNA
Rfam family: Eukaryotic large subunit ribosomal RNA
Source: RNAcentral